AAGACCGGAGCCUUGCCAAGUCGAGCACAAUUAUUUGUAAAUACCCACAAACGUAAGAACGGCACACAUUUGAACAAUGAAACGGAAAAAGUAGUGACUGAAAUGGAGGAACUCCUUACCCAUGACCCCACCUCCAGACUAGGAGGUACUGGAGGGACCAUGACUUGGGCACCUGAUGAUAUUUAUUCCAAGGUCAUGGGCCCAGAAUGUCAUGGGCGAGUGCGUGGUUUAGGUUUUGGGCAAACCACAAAAAAGAGGUGCAACACGCAUUCAACAUCUACAUCAACAUCGCAAUCGACAAUAGAGAUGAUACAAAACGAGUUAACUGUGUUAAAAAACAUGUUUUAUGGCUACAUUCAAGCACAGAUUGAAGGGAAAAAUCCUCUUGAAGGAAUAUCUCUAAAUGAACUUCAGAAAUUACUUGCACCAAAUCAAUCAGCUAUCAUUCAUAAUGAGAAUGGAGAAAAUAGGAAUGACGAUGCAGAGGACCACAAUGAAGAUGAAGAAGUGGAAGAGGAU
Juglans regia (Persian walnut) is the source of this 519-nucleotide long non-coding RNA. RefSeq lists it as uncharacterized. The transcript is spliced from 4 exons. Lineage: Eukaryota; Viridiplantae; Streptophyta; Magnoliopsida; Fagales; Juglandaceae. The record is from RefSeq and is a predicted model, not a curated record.